RNAcentral lists this long non-coding RNA (229 nucleotides) under Carica papaya (papaya). RNAcentral's name for it is "long non-coding RNA (CPAP_LNC008653)". The record is from RNAcentral. Lineage: Eukaryota; Viridiplantae; Streptophyta; Magnoliopsida; Brassicales; Caricaceae.
UGGACUUCACAUUUUUUGUCAACUAUAUUAUAGUGCAUAUUCCUCUCUUCAAAACAUGAACUAGCAUUAGUACCUCUCUCUAGAGAGAAGAAUAAGUUGAAUGACUUUGUUUAGUGCUUGUAAUUUAAUAUUUGUUGUUUGAUCUACCUUUAUUAUUAUACUAAAUCAAAUCCUUUCUCAAUUCUAGCAUGCAUGAUAUAAAUACAAAGAGAUAUAUAUAUCUGUGUGU